CCGGAUCAAAAAUUGAUUUUGAAGCAGCAUACAUCAUUUGGACUUAUUGAUGGAUUCUUUCAUUUUCUGCUAGAUUUAUUCAGCAUAAUUUUGACAAAUUUACCCUGUUUCCUAAAGAUUAUAACACAGUAAGUUCCAUGUAGGAAGUUCAAAUACCAAUGGAUUUAUCUGCUGCAGAGACAACAACGCUUCUGUUGUCACAGGCUCAAAAUUACUGCGUGUAAGAUCCCUUGUGUUAUUACUAAAUCUGCUACCUUUAUGUUGUACCAGAGAUUUUCUCUAAUAGCAGACAAUUACAAUAAUUUGCAAUAAAUCAUCAGUGUAACACCUAGAAGCAUAUUGCCGCCCCAGUUUUAGAUGUUCAGGGGUGGACUUUUUUCUUCUGUGGUUGAACGAUUCACCACUUGUCUGUACUCUGUACCUGUUGAUUCAGGAAUAAUGUUUGUAGCAUUUCAGCAAUAGUUCUUUCUUGUGAUGCAUUAGGUUCUAAUUUCUUGAUUCUAUGUGCGUGGAUAAUUAAUCAAUAUCUUUGUGAGGACGAUCAUGGUAGAUUAGUUAAAUAAGUCGAUAGUACCUCCAGAUAUCCUAGUUAAUAGCCUAUAUAUGACCAUGUUAUCAAAGAACAUUUCUUCAAGUAUCAGUUAAUAUGCGAGCACUAUUAUCUAUAACAUCAUGAUUGUUUUCAAGAGACAAAAACCCCUCCUUAUUAGUGUUAUGAAUCCUUACUGAUUUCUGUCACACGCUUCUGUAGGACUAUAGGAAUAAGCCCACAUGCAUCUAUCUGUCCUAAUAUUUUUUUAUUGUAUAAUCCUUAGUUUCAUCUUCCCUCACAGGUUCUGAAGUUGACUACGUGCUUCAGCCAACAUGUGUUUGUUUGUUCUUUCUCUUAACAGGUAUAUCUACUAGACUUGUGCAUACUGCGAUUAGGAGAUAUAAAAAUCAACACUUAUAUAUUAAGAGGCCCUAAAAAGAAUUUGAAGCCUCUGGAAAAUUUAAAUAUUGAACUAUGUAUGUAUAAUCAAGAUUAUUGGUUACCUAUUAUCAUUCAGUUGGUUCCAGAAUUCAUAUCAUUGUUAAUAUAUAUAAUGUUUGGAUAAUCAUUACUGUAGUAAAUACAUGCUGAUGGUUCAAAAUGAAUAGCCCCAUCCAGUUGUUCAAACAUCUCAGGGUGCGUUUGGGAACCAAGUAUUUCUAAAGUUUUUUAGAAAUACUGUGGUUUCUGAGAAAACUUCAGUAUUAAAUACUUUGAGGUGUUUGGACAGAAAAAAUACUACAGCCUAACAAACCAUUUUUUCUCGAAUAUGCACGAGUGUGCAUAUCAUAUAUUAAAGAAGGAAAGGCAUAGAAAGCCUCAACCAGUCAUUUACAAAGGUGAGAACGUUACACCAUGCACAACUCCACCUCACGCACGAUCGCGCACGCUAACUAGACUACUACUCCCCACUCGUCCACCUAGCUAAGCCUGCAAACACAGCCUCUACAUUACCUCAGAAGAGCCCUGCCAUCGACCAGCUCCUACCCUCGUUCACAAUUCUCUUGAUAAGUUGGUUAGCUGAUGGCGAAGCACCAUCGAAGACAAUUGCGUUUCUGUGCUUCCACAACUCCCACAACGUGAGAAGCAGUAUAGCGUGCAGAUCCUUCCUUGCCACAUUGGCAGCCGGUUGCUUGUCACAAACCCACGGCUUAAGAGCAUCCUGCGUAGAUGGUGCCCACUCUGGCUUUCCCAGAGCCGUACAAAUCGCCACCCAAAUCUCUCGAGCGAAGACGCAUGUUAGCAACACAUGAUCAAUGGUUUCCUCCUCUUGGUCACACAAAGGGCAUUUGUCCUGAUGCGGCAGCCCCCUCCUAGCUAGCCGGUCCGACAUCCAACAUCUGUUCCGCAGGGCCAGCCACGUGAAGAAUUUGCAUUGAGACGGGGCUCGCGAUUUCCACAUUAACUCCGCGGAGGGAAUGACCUCCCUUCCCCAGAACUUCGCUGCGUACGCAGAUCUGACAGAGAAUUGUCCAGUCGGCUCCCAAGACCAAACUAUCUUGUCCGGGACACUCUCCACCGGUUCCCACGCCUGAACCCGCUGCCAUAGCUGUAGGAACUGUUGCAAUGCCACCAUAGUUAUGUUGGGACCAAGGCAAGCUGCCCAGGACCCGUCCAUCCCCACCUGGCCAAGCAUACACGUCUGCCUGAUCCGGCGCAGCACCAAGUCAUAUACCGCCGGCGCAAGCUCCUGGAUCCUCAUCCCGUCAAGCCAUCGAUCUUCCCAAAAUAAGGUAUUCAGCCCGUUGCUUGCCCUGCACCUAGUAGCCGCUUGAAAGAUUUGCAUCGCCUCAGAUGGAACUUUGAUUUUGAAUUCACUCAAAGGUCUACUCCUAUCCGUCCUCUGCAACCAUGGCCAUUUGGCCUGCAUGGCCAUGUUCAUCCACCUCAAGUUAGGCACACCUAGCCCUCCUGCCCAUUUUGGGGUACAAACGGUCUCCCAAGCGACCGCACAGUUUCCUCCAUUAGCUUCCGCUCUCCGGCACCAAAGAAAACCUCGACAAAUCUUGUUCAUGGCCGUCAGGGUUUUGGCAGGAAGGUCCAAAGCCAUCAUCGCAUGGAUGGGCAUUGCACACAGUACCGAAAGCCUAACAAACCAUAGUAUCUCCAAAACUGUGGUAUUUUUGUAGUAUUUGUAAAAGAGGUCGGGACCUCUUUUUUUAAAACUGAGAAACGCUAGUUCAUUGGUCUCUCUGAGUCCAACAUCUUAUGACCAAUACUUGCUAGACCAUAGAUCUAUCUGGCCAGAGGUGUGCGUACACGUACGGAUGACUUACCGCCGGCCGUAAACAUGUGCACGUGGAGGCGAUUCUUAUAGGGGUGUGUUGCUUCUGAUCACUUCUAGACGCACGAGCUGCACCUUCAGUGCCUGUCACAACGCUACGUCUUUGAUGGAUCACAAGAGAUAACUGACUAUGUAUCCUAGAAUCUAAAGAGAACGUGCUCAUGCCCAGCAUACAUAGGGCGGCCGUAAGCAGGAGUUGAUUCUGCCGUGAGUGCAGCUCACUUAGGUUCGAUCGGCUAUAGGUAUCGUUAAGAUUAUCCAUGCAACGAGACAACACUCAUUCAAAAUAAGAGAAACUUAAUAAAACAGCCAUUUGCCAAACGCCUCCACAGUUUUACCAAUACUAAGAAAAAACUACGUUUUUAGAAACUAAAGUAUUUAUGGCCCACAUAUUAAAAUACUGAGGUUUUAAAAUACUAUGGUUUUGCAAAAACUGCGUUGCCAAACUAAUAUGCAGUUUCUGAUCUGAACGAGUUCAAAACUUGUGCAAGUCGCAGCUGAGAGAAUAGAAUGUUAUCAGUCUACAGGAAUGUUCGAGACUUGAAGUCUCUGUGUUUGUACUUCAUAGCAUGGUGAUGUCCCUUCUGCUAGUGUUUAUUACGAUGGUUCAUAUAGUAAGUUGAUGCAAGAUGCAAAAUUUAUUUAGUACACUGUACACAGAUAUAGGUUGCAUCUGUAUUUUUAUUAAUAAACUCCUGUUGAAAUUUUUUUGUAUUCAGAUUAUUAGCUAGCCCCACAUCUAUAUGUAAAUCAAUGUGUAAGUAAUAUUUGUGAGCAUGUAUCACAAUACCUAAUUUAGACACACCCAAAUUUAGCCAGGUGCGAAUUAUUUUCUUUUAACUACAGUAUCUACAUGGUUUUUUUAGGGGGUACCUCGUGUCUUACUUAGUAUGUUCUUUUGAGGUUUAUGUUACUCAAUCGACAUAUAACAUUUUGUUCAUAGGAAAACAAGGAUCGAAAGUGAUUGUUAGAUGUAGGCUAGUACUCUCCCUUUCUACAUACAGAGCUAGUAAUGUCAUGACCCUCAACCUUUCUUUGCCUCCUCCAUAACUUUCUGCUCUAUUGAUAUUCUCUAUCAUAAGUUACUAAUCUCAUUCAAUUGUUGUUCUUGAUUGCCAAGAUAAAUUCAAGAUGCAUGGAUGUUGAUUGCAAGGUCAAGAAUGGCUAUUUUACCAGAUAAUUAGAAUGUCAUUUUCAAGUGUAAUGUUUCAAUCACUAUAGUUGAUUGAAUGAUCAAGAUUUAGGCUUGUAGUAGAUGGUUUCACAUAUGUAAUAUUUGUAUCGUGUUCUUUGUAAUGCAAUACAUUCUUUUUAAUAUAUUAUGAGGAUUCCUACUUAUUGUAUUGUCGCUCCUAUCCAUCUGCAUUGGGCUAAUUUUGGCUCACAGUAUAUAAAAUAACAUUAAAU
This 4223-nucleotide long non-coding RNA is filed under the name Triticum aestivum (bread wheat). RNAcentral's name for it is "long non-coding RNA (TAES_LNC001845)". The record is from RNAcentral. Lineage: Eukaryota; Viridiplantae; Streptophyta; Magnoliopsida; Poales; Poaceae.